GACGUGAGGUUAAUAUCCGCCGAGCCAUCAAACUUAACACCGUUAAUUUUUGGGGCUGCCGCAAGUUUCGUCGCGGUAUCGGCGUUCCCCUUCAGUGCCCCGGUGAUCCCAUCAGUAACAGACAACGGACCUGAAAUAGUCCCUCCAGUCGUUGGCAGCGCUCCAAUAUCUGAUGGUGUAGGUUUCUGAUGUGAGCUAUACAUCGUAUAAACAACACCACCGGUAACGCUGGAAGGCUUACUCGC
RNAcentral lists this ribosomal RNA (245 nucleotides) under Escherichia coli O104:H4 str. E112/10. Its description in RNAcentral is "partial 23S ribosomal RNA". The record is from RNAcentral. Lineage: Bacteria; Pseudomonadati; Pseudomonadota; Gammaproteobacteria; Enterobacterales; Enterobacteriaceae.